This 4398-nucleotide long non-coding RNA is filed under the name Solanum tuberosum (potato). Its description in RNAcentral is "long non-coding RNA (STUB_LNC011562)". The record is from RNAcentral. Lineage: Eukaryota; Viridiplantae; Streptophyta; Magnoliopsida; Solanales; Solanaceae.
GAAGAGAUCUGCACUCAUUGCCCUUUCAGCAAAGAACAAGCUGGGUUUUAUUACAGGGGAUCAGCCUGCACCAACUGUUGGUUCUUCAGAUCUGCAGCUAUGGAGCAGAUGUAAUGACAUGGUUACUUCAUGGUUGCUCAACUCUCUCUCCAGGGAAAUUGCUGAUAGUGUGAUUUACUCCAGAUCUGCUAGAGAACUUUGGCUCAGCUUGGAGCAUCGAUUUGGUCAGUCAAAUGGUGCUAAACUCUUUCACCUGCAAAAGGAAUUAAGUAGGUUAGUUCAGGGAAACAAUAACAUAGCAGGAUAUUUCACUAAUCUUAAAAGACUCUGGGAUGAACUAGACUCUUUAAAUUCAAACAUCAAAUGUUCAUGUGUGUGUGUCUGUCAAGGAAAACAUAAAAUGGAGAAAUCUAUGGAGGAUGAAAAGCUUAUUCACUUCCUUAUGGGGCUCAAUGACACUUAUGCUCAGGCUAGAGGAAACAUCUUAAUGAUGAAUCCACUUCCUAACAUCAACAUUGCAUACUCCUUGAUCUUGCAAGAUGAAAAUCAGAGGAAGACUUACAUGAGUCCUUUUAUGCCCUCUGAUUCAUAUAGUAACAUGAAUCAGCAUAGAGGAAGGCAGCCUCAAUAAUUCACUGGUAACACAUUCAGAUCUGGAAAUACAUAUCCUAGAAAUGACAACUCACAAGGCUCACAGAAACCUCAAAAACAGUUUCAGAAAUUCAAAGGAAAAAAGGGAAAAUAUGAUCCUAAUGCAAACUGCACCCACUGUGGUAAGAAUGGACACUUGAAGUUGAACUGUUAUAGAUUGAUUGGGUUUCCAGAAGUCUUUCAGUUUACAAAUGAGAAGGGAAGUCAUGGUCAAAUAAGAGGAAAUGCAGUGGUCAACAUGGAGGAGGCAGAAGUUGGAUCCACUGCUCAUGCUAUCAAUCAACAUUUCACUUAGGAACAAAUCAAUUUUCUGUUUCAAAAUGGGAAAGAGCUACUUCAAGCUUUCACGCAGAUGAAGGUGGAAGAUAAGACCAACUUCUCAAAUGCUUCUGAGAUCAAUGCAAAUGUUGUAGCUGGUACACUAAUGAAGUAUUUUGGUUCCUGUUUCUCUGUUUUCAAUUCAAAUACAUGGAUUGUAGACUCGGGUGCUUCAGAACAUACGUGUUUUAAUCCUGAUUCUUUCUUAUCUAUGUCCCCCCUUACAGUUCCUCUAAACAUCAAUCUUCCUAAUUCAGAAUCUAUCAAUGUUACGCAUACUGGUGUUGUAUGUUUGUUUUCUGACCUAAUUCUGACUAAUGUCCUCUAUGUUCCUAGUUUCAAAUAUAACUUACUAUCAGUUCAUAAGUUAUGUUGUCAAUUCAACUUUUCAAUCUCUUUCACUUCUAAUGAAUGUCUACUGCAGGGCCUUUCCAUGAAGAAUCCUAAAGUUUUUGGUAAGGCUAAGGAGGGUCUCUACUUGCUUCAGCCAAAUCCUAAGACGUCUAUUCUUCAGUCAACUGAUUCCCAAUCUGUUUCUUUUCCUUUUUCUGUUUGUUCUAGUGCACUUUCUGAUGUAAAGUUGUGGCACAUUAGACUUGGGCAUCUGCCUUUAACAUCAAUGAAAAAUGUCAGUUUCAUUUCUGUUCCUUCUAGUCUUGAUUGUUAUUGUGAUAUUUGUCCACAAGCUAGGCAAUCUAGGCUUCCCUUUCCUAUCAGUCAUAAUAAAUCUAAAUCCAAGUUUGAGUUAAUUCAUGUUGACACCUGGGGGCCCUAUAAGGUACCAACUUAUAAUCAUCAUAAAUAUUUUCUUACUAUAGUUGAUGACUAUAGCAGGGCUACUUGGACAUAUCUAUUGGCUAGUAAGAGUAACUCGUUUCAUGCUUUACAGUCUUUUAUACAAAUGGUGCACAGACAGUUUGAUGCAAAGGUAAAGAUAGUGAGAUCAGAUAAUGCUCUUGAGCUAGGGAAAAGUGAGGCAGGUCUCUGUUUCUUCAACUCCCUUGGCAUAAUUCAUCAGACCUCUUGUGUUGCUUCCCCUCAACAAAAUGGUAUUGUUGAAAGGAAGCACAGACAUCUACUUGAGACUGCCAGGGCACUUAUGUUUCAAUCAAAAGUUCCUAUGAUUUAUUGGGGAGAGUGUAUCUUAACAGCUACUUUUCUUAUUAAUAGGUUCCCAUCCAAAGUUAUUGAUGGCAAGACGCCUUUUGAAUUGAUUUUUGGGAAAACCCCUUCUUAUCAUUUCUUAAGAUGUUUUGGUUGCUUAUGUUAUGCUAAUACUUUGAGUCAGGGGAGAGGUAAGUUUGACUCAAGGGCCAGAAGUUGUGCACUUCUGGGCUAUCCUAUAAAUCAGAAAGGUUACAAGUUAUUGGACUUGCAUACUAAAAAGAUUUUCAUCUCUAGAGAUGUGCAUUUUGUUGAGCAUAUCUUUCCUUUUGCUACUGCACAGUACGUUCCUCCUAUUUUUUCAGAACAUCCUAUUGAUUCUGAUUUUUUUUUCUUCUCCAUCUACUCCUCAGACUUCUCCCUCUCCUACUUUUCCUUCUUUGGAUCCAAUUUUGGUAUCCUCUCCUCCUUCUAACCUAUCUGAACCUGUUGUGGCUUCUCCCACCCCUGUUCCUCCUCUCAGAAGGUCCUCUAGGUCUACAUUAGGGAAAGCUCCUUCUCAUCUGCAUGAUUACAUCUGCAAUCUUAUAACUCUUACUGAUGUCACACACUCCUGUUUCUCCUCUACUCACACCCCUUCCACUAUUUUUGUUCAUACUCUUUCUCAACCUAAUCAAACCACCAUUCACAACACCUCUCAUAUCUUAGAACCUACCAGUUAUGCACAAGCUUGUUCUCAUCCAGGUUGGCUACAAGCCAUGGCUGCUGAACUUGAAGCUUUGCAAUCCGACUACACUUGGGAUGUGGUUCCUUUGCCUUAUGGUCGAAAAGCUUUACCUUGUAAGUGGGUCUACAAGGUUAAGCAACAUGUUGAUGGUACUUUGGAAAGACUGAAGGCCCGAUUGGUUGUGAAAGGUGACAUACAACAACAGGGGAUUGAUUUCACUGAAACCUUUUCCCCUGUUGUUAAGAUGACCACUAUUAGAUGUUUGUUGGCUAUUGCAGCCAAGAAAUCUUGGGACAUUUUUCAAUUUGAUGUCAAUAAUGCAUUUCUUAAAGGUGAUUUACAAGAGGAGGUUUAUAUGAAAUUUCCUAUAGGUUUGGUUCCUCCUCAACCUAAUAUGGUUUGCAAACUCCGCAAAUCUCUCUAUGGUCUUAAACAGGCUUCUCGGCAGUGGUAUGCCAAACUUGCCGGAGCUCUCACUUUUAAGGGUUUCACUGCCUCCCUCAAUGACUAUUCUUUAUUCUUCAAGAGGACAGGUUCUCUUACUACUAUUAUUGCCGUCUAUGUGGACGACAUCCUUAUUACGGGUGAUGAUCACCAAGAAAUCUCUGCUCUUAAGUUAUUUCUUCACUCAGAAUUUAAGAUCAAGGACCUUGGUCUUUUACACUAUUUUUUAGGCCUGGAACCACAUGGUAUUAUCAUCAGUCAAAGGAAAUAUACCUUGGAGCUUCUACAGGAGUUUGAUGUAGCUCAUCUUCCAUAUGUUUCUUCUCCUUUAGAUCCAUCUGUCAAAUUACUUGCAGAUUCAGGGGAUUUCAUGACAGAUCCUACACUAUACAGACAUCUCAUCGGCAAACUUAACUAUUUGACUCAUACCCGUCCCGAUUUGUCUCAUUCCGUUUUGAUUCUCAGUCAGUUUAUGCAAAAGUCGUGCCUGUCACAUUAUGAUGCUGCUUUGAGAGUGGUGAGUUACCUGCAGCAUUGCCCUAUUCAAGGUUUGUUCAUGUCUCCUUCAUCUUCAUUUUCCCUUCAAGCUUUUUGUGAUGCCGACUGGGCGUCCUGUAGAGAUACAAGGAGGUCGAUCAAUGGGUUUUUUAUCAGUUUGGGCGGUUCACCCAUUUCUUGGAAAUCUAAGAAACAGGCCUCUGUUUCCCUCUCUUCCGCUGAGGCGGAGUAUCGAUCUAUGCGGCGCCUUGUUGCCAAGUUGACCUGGUUGGUGCGCUUACUCUCCGAUCUGUCCGUUCCUCCUGACCUUCCAGUCCCAGUUCACUCCGACAGUCAGGCUGCUAUCCAUAUCGCUCGAAAUCCGGUCUUUCAUGAACGGACCAAACAUGUUGAUCUCGAUUGCCAUUUUGUUCGCCAACAGUACUUAUCUGGGCUCAUCUCACUCUCCUUUGUUCCGUCAAAAGCACAACUGGCUGACCUUUCUCACCAAAUCUCUCUCUGGUCCUCUCCAUCGCUCUCUUCUUCCCAAGAUGGGUCUCACUCAGCUCCUCUCCAUCUUGCUGGGGGAUGUUGGAAUUAUUGAUGAUAAACAAGGAAAGGAGACAUCAAAGGGAGAAAAGACAAACAAGCAGACAAGAGCUUCAUGUUUGGCUUUG